ACCAGCAGCAACGUACAAUUGGCAACCCACUGAAGCUAAGCAGGUGUGAGCCUGGUCAGUACCUGAAUGGGAGACCUCCUGGGAAAAACUAAGGUUGCUGCUGGAA
RNAcentral lists this ribosomal RNA (106 nucleotides) under Lepisosteus oculatus (spotted gar). The record is from RNAcentral. Lineage: Eukaryota; Metazoa; Chordata; Actinopteri; Semionotiformes; Lepisosteidae.